UACGUAGGGCGCAAGCGUUGUCCGGAAUUAUUGGGCGUAAAGAGCUCGUAGGCGGUUUGUCGCGUCUGCUGUGAAAUCCCGAGGCUCAACCUCGGGCUUGCAGUGUGUACGGGCAGACUAGAGUGCGGUAGGGGAGACUGGAAUUCCUGGUGUAGCGGUGGAAUGCACAGAUAUCAGGAGGAACACCGAUGGCGAAGGCAGGUCUCUGGGCCGCAACUGACGCUGAGGAGCGAAAGCAUGGGGAGCGAACAGG
This 253-nucleotide ribosomal RNA is filed under the name uncultured bacterium. RNAcentral's name for it is "partial 16S ribosomal RNA". It matches the Rfam family "Bacterial small subunit ribosomal RNA", at positions 524 to 776 of the family's 1533-position model. The record is from RNAcentral.